This 511-nucleotide ribosomal RNA is filed under the name uncultured bacterium. Its description in RNAcentral is "bacterial SSU rRNA". It matches the Rfam family "Bacterial small subunit ribosomal RNA", at positions 8 to 518 of the family's 1533-position model. The record is from RNAcentral.
AGAGUUUGAUUAUGGCUCAGGAUGAACGCUGGCGGCGUGCUUAACACAUGCAAGUCGAACGGAGUUUUUAAACGGAAGUUUUCGGAUGGAAGUUUAGAAACUUAGUGGCGGACGGGUGAGUAACGCGUGGGUAACCUGCCUCAUACAGGGGGAUAACAGUUAGAAAUGACUGCUAACACCGCAUAAUAUAGCGAAACCGCAUGAUUUUUGCUAUCAAAUAUUUAUAGGUAUGAGAUGGGCCCGCGUCUGAUUAGCUAGUUGGUGGGGUAAAAGCCUACCAAGGCGACGAUCAGUAGCCGGCUUGAGAGAGUGACCGGCCACAUUGGGACUGAGACACGGCCCAAACUCCUACGGGAGGCAGCAGUGGGGAAUAUUGGACAAUGGGGGAAACCCUGAUCCAGCGACGCCCGCGUGAGUGAAGAAGUAUUUCGGUAUGUAAAGCUCUAUCAGCAGGGAAGAUAAUGACAGUACCUGACUAAGAAGCCCCGGCUAACUACGUGCCAGCAGCAGC